AUGUGGGAAUUGUUCAAGCAUUCUGAUCCUCGCAAGCACAAUAUCAUAGGCACAAAAUGGAUCUAUCGCAACAAACAAGAUGAGCAUGGUCAAGUUAACAGAAGCAAAGCUCGUCUCAUUGCUCAAGUCUAUACUCAAGUUGAAGGAAUUGACUUCGAUGAAACAUUCGCUCCGGUGGCUAGGCUUGAAGCCAUUCGCAUUCUGCUAGCCUAUGCCAAUCAUCACAACAUCCUCCUGUAUCAAAUGGAUGUGAAGAGUACUUUUCUCAAUGGCAAGAUUGAAGAAGAAGUGUAUGUUGCACAACCACCUGGCUUUGAAGAUCCAAAACAUCCUGACAUGGUUUACAAGCUCAACAAGGCACUGUGUGGCCUCAAACAAGCCCCUUGUGCUUGA
RNAcentral lists this ribosomal RNA (393 nucleotides) under Triticum aestivum (bread wheat). RNAcentral's name for it is "partial small subunit ribosomal RNA". The record is from RNAcentral. Lineage: Eukaryota; Viridiplantae; Streptophyta; Magnoliopsida; Poales; Poaceae.